This 264-nucleotide ribosomal RNA is filed under the name uncultured bacterium. RNAcentral's name for it is "partial 16S ribosomal RNA". It matches the Rfam family "Bacterial small subunit ribosomal RNA", at positions 793 to 1055 of the family's 1533-position model. The record is from RNAcentral.
GUCCACGCCGUAAACGGUGGGAACUAGGUGUUGGCGACAUUCCACGUCGUCGGUGCCGCAGCUAACGCAUUAAGUUCCCCGCCUGGGGAGUACGGCCGCAAGGCUAAAACUCAAAGGAAUUGACGGGGGCCCGGCACAAGCAGCGGAGCAUGUGGCUUAAUUCGACGCAACGCGAAGAACCUUACCAAGGCUUGACAUACACCGGAAACGGCCAGAGAUGGUCGCCCCUUCGUGGUCGGUGUACAGGUGGUGCAUGGCUGUCGU